RNAcentral lists this ribosomal RNA (235 nucleotides) under Vibrio cholerae. Its description in RNAcentral is "partial 23S ribosomal RNA". It matches the Rfam family "Bacterial large subunit ribosomal RNA", at positions 1435 to 1670 of the family's 2925-position model. Lineage: Bacteria; Pseudomonadati; Pseudomonadota; Gammaproteobacteria; Vibrionales; Vibrionaceae. The record is from RNAcentral.
AUUCCCGUACUUCUGACUAUUGCGAUGGGGGGACGGAGAAGGCUAGGUGGGCCAGGCGACGGUUGUCCUGGUUCAAGUGCGUAGGCUUAAGAGUUAGGUAAAUCCGGCUCUUUGUAAGGCUGAGACACGACGUCGAGCUGCUACGGCAGUGAAGUCAUUGAUGCCAUGCUUCCAGGAAAAGCCUCUAAGCUUCAGAUAGUCAGGAAUCGUACCCCAAACCGACACAGGUGGUCGG